GAGGGUAUAGCUCAAGUGGUAGAGUGCAUGCUUAGCAUGCAUGAGGUCCUGGGUUCAAUCCUCAGUACUUCUU
RNAcentral lists this transfer RNA (73 nucleotides) under Camelus bactrianus (Bactrian camel). It matches the Rfam family "tRNA". From Rfam's summary of the family: Transfer RNA (tRNA) molecules are approximately 80 nucleotides in length. The record is from Rfam by way of RNAcentral. Lineage: Eukaryota; Metazoa; Chordata; Mammalia; Artiodactyla; Camelidae. RNAcentral also lists the same sequence under 1 other name.